This 117-nucleotide ribosomal RNA is filed under the name Actinomycetota bacterium. Lineage: Bacteria; Bacillati; Actinomycetota. The record is from RNAcentral.
UCCGGUGGCUAUGGCGAAGGGGAAACACCUGGUCCCAUUCCGAACCCAGAAGUUAAGCCCUUCUGCGCCGAUGGUACUGCUUGGGAGACUGGGCGGGAGAGUAGGUCGCCGCCGGGA